This 274-nucleotide ribosomal RNA is filed under the name uncultured bacterium. RNAcentral describes it as "partial 16S ribosomal RNA". It matches the Rfam family "Bacterial small subunit ribosomal RNA", at positions 523 to 796 of the family's 1533-position model. The record is from RNAcentral.
AUACGGAGGGUGCAAGCGUUAUCCGGAUUUAUUAGGUUUAAAGGGUCCGUAGGCGGGAAUAUAAGUCAGUGGUGAAAUCCUGCAGCUUAACUGUAGAACUGCCAUUGAUACUGUAUUUCUUGAGUUUAGUCGAGGUAGGCGGAAUGUGUAAUGUAGCGGAGAAAUGCUUAGAUAUUACACAGAACACCGAUUGCGAAGGCAGCUUACUAGGCUAUAACUGACGCUGAUGGACGAAAGCGUGGGGAGCGAACAGGAUUAGAAACCCCAGUAGUCC